RNAcentral lists this ribosomal RNA (882 nucleotides) under uncultured Bacillus sp. Its description in RNAcentral is "bacterial SSU rRNA". It matches the Rfam family "Bacterial small subunit ribosomal RNA", at positions 139 to 1003 of the family's 1533-position model. The record is from RNAcentral. Lineage: Bacteria; Bacillati; Bacillota; Bacilli; Caryophanales; Bacillaceae.
UGGGAUAACUCCGGGAAACCGGGGCUAAUACCGGAUGGUUGUUUGAACCGCAUGGUUCAAACAUAAAAGGUGGCUUCGGCUACCACUUACAGAUGGACCCGCGGCGCAUUAGCUAGUUGGUGAGGUAACGGCUCACCAAGGCGACGAUGCGUAGCCGACCUGAGAGGGUGAUCGGCCACACUGGGACUGAGACACGGCCCAGACUCCUACGGGAGGCAGCAGUAGGGAAUCUUCCGCAAUGGACGAAAGUCUGACGGAGCAACGCCGCGUGAGUGAUGAAGGUUUUCGGAUCGUAAAGCUCUGUUGUUAGGGAAGAACAAGUACCGUUCGAAUAGGGCGGUACCUUGACGGUACCUAACCAGAAAGCCACGGCUAACUACGUGCCAGCAGCCGCGGUAAUACGUAGGUGGCAAGCGUUGUCCGGAAUUAUUGGGCGUAAAGGGCUCGCAGGCGGUUUCUUAAGUCUGAUGUGAAAGCCCCCGGCUCAACCGGGGAGGGUCAUUGGAAACUGGGGAACUUGAGUGCAGAAGAGGAGAGUGGAAUUCCACGUGUAGCGGUGAAAUGCGUAGAGAUGUGGAGGAACACCAGUGGCGAAGGCGACUCUCUGGUCUGUAACUGACGCUGAGGAGCGAAAGCGUGGGGAGCGAACAGGAUUAGAUACCCUGGUAGUCCACGCCGUAAACGAUGAGUGCUAAGUGUUAGGGGGUUUCCGCCCCUUAGUGCUGCAGCUAACGCAUUAAGCACUCCGCCUGGGGAGUACGGUCGCAAGACUGAAACUCAAAGGAAUUGACGGGGGCCCGCACAAACGGUGGAGCAUGUGGUUUAUUUCGAAACAACCCCGAGAAACAUUACUAAGGCGUGGACAUCCCCCUGACAAUCCUA